GCAAGGAUAGCUCAGUGGUAGAGCAACGCUCUCGUAAAGCGUAGGUCGUGGGUUCGAAUUCCAUUCCCGGCU
RNAcentral lists this transfer RNA (72 nucleotides) under Bacteroidetes bacterium SW_11_45_7. Its description in RNAcentral is "tRNA-Thr". It matches the Rfam family "tRNA". From Rfam's summary of the family: Transfer RNA (tRNA) molecules are approximately 80 nucleotides in length. Their secondary structure includes four short double-helical elements and three loops (D, anti-codon, and T loops). Further hydrogen bonds mediate the characteristic L-shaped molecular structure. tRNAs have two regions of fundamental functional importance: the anti-codon, which is responsible for specific mRNA codon recognition, and the 3' end, to which the tRNAs corresponding amino acid is attached (by aminoacyl-tRNA synthetases). tRNAs cope with the degeneracy of the genetic code in two manners: having more than one tRNA (with a specific anti-codon) for a particular amino acid; and 'wobble' base-pairing, i.e. permitting non-standard base-pairing at the 3rd anti-codon position. Lineage: Bacteria; Pseudomonadati; Bacteroidota. The record is from RNAcentral.